CGGGUGAGUAACACGUGAGAAACCUGCCCCAAAGUUUGGAAUAACCCGAAGAAAUUCGAGCUAAUACCAAAUGCCCUCUUCGGAUCGAAUGGUCUGAUGAGGAAAGAUUUAUCGCUUUGGGAGGGUCUCGCGGCCUAUCAGCUAGUUGGUGAGGUAAUGGCUCACCAAGGCAUCGACGGGUAGCUGGUCUGAGAGGACGAUCAGCCACACUGGAACUGAGACACGGUCCAG
This 231-nucleotide ribosomal RNA is filed under the name uncultured bacterium. RNAcentral describes it as "partial 16S ribosomal RNA". It matches the Rfam family "Bacterial small subunit ribosomal RNA", at positions 103 to 334 of the family's 1533-position model. The record is from RNAcentral.